Molecule: ribosomal RNA, 203 nt
Filed under: uncultured bacterium
Lineage: Bacteria
Description: partial 16S ribosomal RNA
Rfam family: Bacterial small subunit ribosomal RNA
Source: RNAcentral
UACAGAGGGUGCAAGCGUUGUUCGGAAUUAUUGGGCGUAAAGCGCGUGUAGGCGGCUUUGCAAGUCGGGUGUGAAAGCCCUCAGCUCAACUGAGGAAGUGCGCCCGAAACUGCAGAGCUUGAGUGCCGGAGAGGGUGGCGGAAUUCCCCAAGUAGAGGUGAAAUUCGUAGAUAUGGGGAGGAACACCGGUGGGUGAAGGCGGC